RNAcentral lists this ribosomal RNA (483 nucleotides) under uncultured bacterium. RNAcentral's name for it is "bacterial SSU rRNA". It matches the Rfam family "Bacterial small subunit ribosomal RNA", at positions 590 to 1069 of the family's 1533-position model. The record is from RNAcentral.
AGAUGUGAAAUCCCCCGGGCUUAACCUGGGAACUGCGUUUGUGACUGCAAGCUAGAGUACGGCGAGAGGGGGGUGGAAUUCCUGGUGUAGCAGUGAAAUGCGUAGAGAUCGAGGAGGAACACCGAUGGCGAAGGCAGCCCCCUGGGGCCUGUACUGACGCUCAUGCACGAAAGCGUGGGAGCAAACAGGAUUAGAUACCCUGGUAGUCCACGCCCUAAACGAUGUCGACUAGUCGUUCGGAGCAGCAAUGCACUGAGUGACGCAGCUAACGCGUGAAGUCGACCGCCUGGGGAGUACGGCCGCAAGGUUAAAACUCAAAGGAAUUGACGGGGACCCGCACAAGCGGUGGAUGAUGUGGAUUAAUUCGAUGCAACGCGAAAAACCUUACCUACCCUUGACAUGUCUGGAACCUUGCUGAGAGGCGAGGGUGCCUUCGGGAGCCAGAACACAGGUGCUGCAUGGCUGUCGUCAGCUCGUGUCGUG